Molecule: microRNA precursor, 156 nt
Filed under: Helianthus tuberosus
Lineage: Eukaryota; Viridiplantae; Streptophyta; Magnoliopsida; Asterales; Asteraceae
Description: miR403d stem-loop (htu-MIR403d)
Gene: htu-MIR403d
Rfam family: MIR403 microRNA precursor family (bases 16-154)
Source: miRBase by way of RNAcentral
UUCCCUUCCGAACAGCCAUAUUUCGUGUUUGUGCGUGAAUCUAACGAUCCUUAAUCUUAUCACAUCACCAGUAAUCAUACUUUUUGUUUGUCUGUUUGUUGCCAGACAGGAUCUGUUGGUUCGUUAGAUUCACGCACAAACUCGUAAUAUGUCUCU